Molecule: long non-coding RNA, 669 nt
Filed under: Struthio camelus australis
Lineage: Eukaryota; Metazoa; Chordata; Aves; Struthioniformes; Struthionidae
Description: lncRNA (ENSSCUG00000003035.1)
Source: RNAcentral
AAGGAUUGAACAAAAGCAUUUGGGAUCCUGGUGAUCAAAUGUGUCUUGGUCUUUCCUACAGAGCUUAUGGACAUGUGGCUGUUACUGGGCGAGCACAGACAGACCACUGCAGACUGUUCGGACAGGAGGCGAGCAUGGGUCAGCAGCUCCCUGCCAAGGCUUUACAAGAAAGGCAGAAAGGGAUGGCAGAGCUUCGGAGCACGGCUGGACCCACAGAAACGACACGCCGCCGAGCUGAGAGCCCUAUAGGUGCCGUUUGCCUCGACAAAUAAAGGGAAAUAACACCCUCUGUGUCCUUGGACCUCCCGUGUCCCUGCAAAACCCAAGGAUGGAGCUACCCGAGGGAAGCAAGCUGCCGAUGAAUUGCUGAUAAAACACCAGGUACGAGGUUGGAGAAGAGUCACAGAGAAGGGAAAUAAGGAUUGGGGGAGGAGUGGAGAGAUAGAAGUUACAGGGUCAUGAUGUUCUCAGGUUGCGAGACAGUGUUCCUAUGUGCCACGGCCAGAUAAAUAGUAAUGCAUUAGUUUUAAAAUGCUGCUCUGAAAUGUCACCUUCAUCUCCAUUGAUCUCUCUUACCAAACAGGUCCUUCACUGUCACUUGUGACAAAAGGCAUUAGUCAAUGAAAAGCUCUAAAUAAACUUCAGGAAGACAAGGAAGCUCUUCUUUCG